RNAcentral lists this long non-coding RNA (3601 nucleotides) under Musa acuminata (dwarf banana). RNAcentral describes it as "long non-coding RNA (MACU_LNC000279)". The record is from RNAcentral. Lineage: Eukaryota; Viridiplantae; Streptophyta; Magnoliopsida; Zingiberales; Musaceae.
GAAAGUUAGGCAACCGAGGAUGACCCAACAAGCAACAUAAACUCAAGUGCCAGCAUUGAAUUUGAUAAUACAGCACGUGCUUUUCUAGGCCAAACCAAAAAGAUCAUCAAACCAAUGGUUACUGGGCCAUUUUGAACUUAUUUGUGAGCUUAGAUUUUAGGAAUUCCUUAAGUUGUUCAAACUAUAGCGUCAGAAUCCAGCAUAAAGAGCAUGUAAAUGGCAAUAUCAAGCAAAAAAAAUGAAAGAUUUUAAGUAUUCUGUAACGUUGAUGUUUACAGGGCAUCCAAAGCGCAUACACACCUUAGUGAACACUCGAAGCAGCAGGGGGCAAGUCAUGCAAUUUCAACAGAAAAAAAAUGUUAAUAACUCAUGAAUAUAUACCUUUGGAUGAGAAAAGAAAUGGCAUUUAUUUAUUCAAUAAAACCAAUUCAAUUAUUAAAUACCAAACAACAACAUGAAAAGCAUCGAGCAAAUUUUUUAAGUUUAAAUACUACUUAAACCUCAAAUCCCAACUUAAUCCAAGCUUUUUUAAAUGAAAAUCCUGUAGUCUGAUGGCAUGAAAUUUGAAAAUACAAUAAUCGAUGUGGCACAUUUACUGGUCCAAGCAAGGACUAGCAUUGGAUCAUACGACCCAGGACCAUUCGGUAUUUAUUUAUUUUUAUAUAUUUUACAGCUGAUACUGAGCAAUACGGGCCAAUAAAUUGCCCAAUCCGCCGGCACAAUAUUGGUCCCAUAGAUGACCGGAACCAGUACCAGACCCAGACUUAUAACCUUGAUCUAGAGUAUAUGUAAAUAUUUCUUAAUCUUUCAUCAAUCCGCACAUCCAUCUCAAGACUAACUUCUUAAACAUGUUAUUUCCUAGUUGUGCAAUAUACAAAUCCAUAAAGCAUGGUUGACCUUGCAACUCAAUGUGUUAUUGACCAUACAAACUAAUAAAGCAUGAACCGUUUGAUGAAGAUUGGUGAUGUGGCAGGUUAAAUAGAAUACUCAUGUAGUUUCAACCAUUGGGUAUGUGAGGGGCUGCGUCAAAAACAAGAUGGUAUAAAGUGUAACUACAAGAUCAUAACCAACAAACGUUGUCGAUGAUCAAUUUUAAAGGUUAUGUUUAAAAAGGAAUCAUGGAGAGAACAGAAAAAGAUAGGGCUAGUCAACUGAACCCGUUCUACAUGUUAUAAUCUUGUAGUUGCAAUUGAUCUUUUAGGUCACAAAUAGGCAUUUUCUUUGCUGUAUUUUCAAGUUUAGCCCACCAUUCUAGAGCUUCUCUUGUUUCUUCUUGUCUUUUUAUCUUAUCUUUGGCCAGAACUCAUCAGUCUAAGAUGAUUCUAGCCACCAGAACUUCCUAAUAGUAUUAUUUGACAGCUGAUUUACAGCACUGCCAAUUUUUCUCUUUGUUCCCUUUUUCUUUUUCAAGCUACAAAAAUUAAUAUUUAUUCUUUUUGGAUUGUAUAGUCAUGCUACAAAGAAAACUAAGCAUUGCCUAAAAGCCGCAAAAAAAGGAGAAUCAAAUUAAAUGUAAAAUACUAUCUGUUGUCAGGUACUACACAGGCAUAAGUAUAGGUCUAAAAAAAGAUUUCAAUUGAGAAGAUAUUAUUCUCACAGAGGGACAAAGAAAUUAUGAUGAAUCAGAUGAGAGGGUGUACCUUUUCACGGUCCACAGGUUCACGCAGGCGAGCUAGUGGGGGAGGACCUCUUGGUUGAGUAGGCAGUGCAUGUAUGGCAUGCGGCAUGCCCAUUGUGCACUUCAGUCAUUCCAGCCAUUUUCCACCUUUAUAGUAGAAUUAGCAAUGGUAUACAAUGCCACUUUAAAUCAGAAACAUAUUCUCAGAAGGAUCAUGAAAACAUAAAGUAAAUUGUUAAGGCAAUCAAAGUAUAGAAUCAAAACAUAAAGCAAACUGUUGAGGUAAUCAAAGUAUAGUAUGAGGAACUCAGUCUCUCUAAGGUUUUCAAUUACAGAAUACCAUAAUACACAUGAAAUCUGCCAUAAGUAGAAACUUUAAAUGGUGUUACAAACUGAUGAAGUGAAAACAAGGAUAGAUAAAAAUGUGAAAUACUUCUCGUGUAUCAGCAUUGAACCUUGAAUGUGCAUUUCAUGAUUUGUUUACAUCACCUAAUUAUCAUGUGUGGUAGUAUAUUGUAUUAUCAAAAUUUCAACAAUAUAAUUCUGCAAGGCCUAAUGGCCUUAGUUUUUUUUCUUCCUCUUUCUCUCUCACUGUAAAUAUGGUUUUACAAAUGCAGAUAGAAUUAUGUGUAAAUAACACUUCCGCAGCAACCUACCUAAUUUUUGUUCAUCUUUAUUGACUAAGCUAACAAGUGCACGCAAAAGUGGGGUGAAUCAAAAACAAAAUUUAACUGUCUGUUGAAAUAAUAUGAAUAUACCCUGAAUACGAAAAACAAUGAAGAUGCACUUCUAUUACAGUACUUGAGAGGUCAGUAUUAAAUUAUAGGCGAGACAUCUGCUAAAGAUGCCCAUAAGAAUCUUUUUUCUUUCUUAUUUUGACAUUCUAGACGAAAUGAUGACUCUAGGAGAAGAAAUCUCAAAUCAUUAUAUGAUGGAAACAUAGUUCCACAUAAAAACCAAAUUUCAAAAUGAUAUAGAUCAGAGCAGCAAACAUCGUUACAGGACCAAAGGGAAAAAUAAGUUCAAACAACGAUCAACAACAUCCAAAAUAGGCUAUAAUCCCAUAUCAAGAACCGUCUCAAACACCUUUCUUUCUCAAUUUUAGAGCCCAUAAGAAGUGAACUUUGACCAUUUAUUGAGUCACACGACCUCUUGACAGAAUUACGUGUGUAAUGUAUGGAACCUAAUUCAAGCAGUUCCACAGCCUCCUCUUCGUUUCUUUUUUUGAGAUGCAAGGAAGGGUAACCCAUUACAUCAAGGUGCGUAUACAGAGAUCAUAGAAAAGGGCUUCUGGUGAUCUUGUUCCAAUAAUACCAUGGAAAUUAUAAUUUCCAAGCUAACAAAACGUACAAUACAAAAGAUAACCAAAAUUUUUGGAUGGUGAAACCGCAAGCGAUUCAAGAAAUCAUCCUUCAAGAAACAACACUGUAACGCUUUCCUUGGUAGCUCGUUUUCUUGAUAGAAUCCCUCAAAGUAACGAGGGCACUAGAACAAUCGAAGAGAACAAACCCUAGCCGCAACCUUCUUCUCCAUGUCCUCCUAACUCUCGCAUCCCUUCUCCCCGAAAUCAAUGGACAAUCCGAAAACCCAGAAAGCGGAGGGUAAUCAGAAACCCUAACACAAGAUCACGCUUCUUUCAUCCAAGAAGCCAGAAAGAUCGCAUCUCUAAGAUGCAGAUCGGUGGUUUGAACAAGGCGAAGAGGUCGAGAGUGGCUUAAUCGCCCAGAAAACCAUCAAAGAGAGAGCGAUCGACGUCGAGACGAGGUGAUCCAAGAUAAAAGGUAACAGCAGCGACGAUUACCUUCUAUGGAUGAGAUGUGCGAGCUGCGGCGGGACUAGGCUUCGGAUGCCGCAAAGUGGCUUCGAAGGCGUACUCGUCGCCUGCGUCCCGCCCGCCUCAUUCACUCGUCGAAUGUAUGUGUGUGUUUGUGUGUGUGUGUGUGUGUGUGUAUAUAUAUAUAUAUAUAUAUAUAUAUAUAUAUA